Triticum aestivum (bread wheat) is the source of this 2800-nucleotide long non-coding RNA. RefSeq lists it as uncharacterized. The transcript has 5 exons. The record is from RefSeq and is a predicted model, not a curated record. NCBI's taxonomy places the organism in Eukaryota, Viridiplantae, Streptophyta, Magnoliopsida, Poales, Poaceae.
CUUUUCGCUCAAACAGGUGGAAACGGAUCGGUGGGGGCUCGAUCUCAUACAGGGAUGCCGGCGACGCGGCGACGCAGGCGGUCCACGAUGGGAUCCAGUGUUUGCUGGUCUUCCCAGUGGAUCGAGCCGAGGCGCUCAAGGCGAUCUAGCGGCGCGCGGCCUUCUCAAUGGAUCCAGCCGAAGCGCGCUAGGGAAUCAUCCUAGGGUUUGGAGUUGGUGACCGAGGAGGAGGCGGCACCGGCGAUGGUGCGCAAGCCGUGCACGAGGCCACGGCGACUCCACAAAGUCUGCUCCGCUCUCCCCGACCCUCGACGGCGUGCUCUCCGAUCUGCACUCCCUCCUUCUCUCCACGCUCGCCGCGUCGCUGCGCUCCCCAUCACCAUGGCAACGAUGUGAGUUUCAGUGUGCCCAGCUCAUCCCGUGUUCGAUUGGGCUGGGGCGCUCAUGGCGGCGCUGGAAGGAAUCUCCUAGCCAAAUUUUAGCAUGGAGGCGCCUUCCAGAGCACCUUGCCGCUGGUAGUGAUGUCCGACGGCGUGAGGACAUGGUGAGGCUUCAACGAAUCAUCCAUGGAUUCGACGAUUUCAAGGCUUCAAUGGAUUAAAUCUGAGAAGAUAAUUCUUGAAAUGGAGGAGGUUCAAUUGGUGUUCCUGGAGAUGACAAGAAAGAUCAUUCAAGGGAAGAGGAUUUGUUGCGAGAGAGUCGGAUACCGGUGUGGAUGAUCCUCUCAAUGGACUCAUUGCAGCAUCACAAAGACACAGGCAACGGUGCUACUGCUGAUGGUAGAGAGGAGAUCAACGGCAAGGGAGGCAAGGGAAAAACUGAGGGUCAAAGAGGGUUUACAACUAGGUAUAAAGCUUCAUGAGGACUCAUCUUCUUGGGAUGGAAGAUGAUCGGUUACUGGUGCUUGUGAAUAUCUGCGGAAGUACAGUAGCCUGUAGCUUUGUAGGCGUUGAACUAAAUACCAAUCAAAGUAGGAGCGAAAGGAAGAUAAUAUAGGUUUUGAUCCGCCAAAAGGUCUAUUUAUUCUCAUUUCAGUUAAGAUUUACCUCUAAAACAUUGCAUGAACUCCUGCGCAUAUUGGAUACUUUAUUUAUGCACCUUCUUGCAUUUUAAUUCCAUGUAAGUUGUGCACUCUAUUUAGUAAGUUAUUUGUAUUUUGGCUACAAAUGAUUUUAUUGGAUAUAUUGUAGACAUUUUCUGCAGGGACUGUUGCAACUUGCUAGACAUAGGAAAAGAUGGGAGUCAAUCCAAGAUGACAUCAGCAACCAAAGGUGACAUUUAUAUAAACAUUUGGAUUUCUGAUACAAGAAUAGUCAUGUGUUUUUUCUUUGAAGGUGUGUGAUUUUCUUUUAGUGUGGAAAUUAUUAUGAUGAUCAUUCAUCAGAGAUGGGUCCGUGCAUUAUUUUCUUCUUACAAAGAAAUUCAAGUUUGAAUCUUAGAUUUAACAAUUACUCCCUUUGUUCCUUUAUAUAAGGUGUAUUUGUUUUUUUAAGUCAAACGAGUGCAAGUUUGGCCAAGUUUUUAGAAAAAUAUAUCAACAUUCACAAUAUGAAUUUAUAUAUCAUUUGAUCUCAACAUAAAGAUUAAUUUCAUAUUAUAUCUAUUAGGAAUUGCAGAUGUUGUUAUUUUGUUCUACAAUCUUGGUCAAAUAUUCAAAUGAUUAACUUGCACGGAAAUCAAUACACCUUAUAUUCUGGAACGGAGGGAGUAUUUGACAUGUCAUGAAGUGUGUACUGCAUCACUCACAAAAAUCAUAGCUUCCAUCCAGCGGCUUUGGCCGAGUUAAUUUGUGCAUUGAUGUUUCACCAUUUCCUGAAGUUAUAUAACUAUUGUGGUUUCCUUCAGGUUAAUGCGAUUACUCCAUUAAGUGAAGGUUAGUCGUUGCUCCUUGAUCAAGGCUAUUAAUUUAUAGAUGGGUUUUCGAAUAUACUCAUAGUAGUCCAGUGAUGAGUAUAAGUUGAAGCAAGAGUCUAUUAAAUAAAUAAAAAACAUUUUCAUUUGAAAGUAGCCAUAAGAUAGAAAUGGAUAUACAUAUGUUGUAUAAUGAAACGAAGAUGUAUAUAGCAUGUCCAGCUCCAAGAGACUAUUUUCCUCUUUUUGGUUAUACUUACUACUGUCCAUUUCAAGACAAAAGAAAACUACUGCGAAACAACUUUUUUAGACUGUUUUUAUCAUUUUCAAUAGCUCAUGGUUCAAUUAUGUUUAACUUUUUGUCACCUUAAUGUUAUGAAAAUUCCUAUCAACCUAUUGCCAAAACAGAUGGGCGCGGCAACGCGCGCCUCCGAUGAUCUAGUUUCAUAUUAUCAUUGAUCCUUGCGAAGAUCACGGUUCUGCUCUUCCAAUAAAAUAACCUCAUUGCCUCCACUGGGGGUAUGAGUUGAUUUCCUUCUUCAUGGAUCCGGCCAGUCGUGACCCCUUUAGUUUCCUCCUGCCCGGCAGUGUCCUCAUCUCUGGACGACCACUCAUAAUAGACCUCACUGAAAGGGCGUUUGCCCUCGAGGGUUGCAUGAUUCGAUGCUUGGUACGGAGCCUUCGGGGUGCCAUGGGGAGCUUGACGACCAAGUCCUGUCAGAAAAAUGGCCCGAAAGAAGAACAGAGGAUAAACUUGCGAUACGGUGGUCAAAACAGCGAGGAGUAUAUAUAAUGAUUUUUUUCAUGCAGGACAAGUAAUCUGGAAGGAAACAGAGUCGGUAAAGUCCACAGGGAGUCACGAGCCCACACAGCGCGCCUUGGGGGGUAGGGCGCGCCCCCUGAGCUCGUCGCUCCCUCGUGCACUUUCCUGAUUGUUUAUUAUUUCCUA